AUGGCGGAUAUGGGAUUGGCGACUAGGGAAGACGACCACGGUGACAGAAUUGAACCGGAGGGAGAGAUGGGGAGGAGCGGGGCUUCACCGUGGGGGUGCUGCUGGAGUCAGGCGCUUGGGUCCGUGAAGCAGAGGAAGCAGAGGAAGAUGAUGUCGAGGAACUUGGUGGCUCCGGCCUUGGAUCGCAGCGGGAACGAGGUCGUGAAGGUCUCUUGGUGCGCGAGGAAGGAGGGAACCGGCAGAACGGGCUACGCCGGAGAAGAGGUUCGGCUCGUCCCAGACAUGGCAUCGGGAGGCAAGGCAGCAGGUCGCGUGGGAGCGUCUUACCUGCGCGGCGGCGGCGGAGAAGAGGGAGAGGAGGAAGAUGGAAAACCCUAG
Molecule: ribosomal RNA, 378 nt
Filed under: Triticum aestivum (bread wheat)
Lineage: Eukaryota; Viridiplantae; Streptophyta; Magnoliopsida; Poales; Poaceae
Description: partial small subunit ribosomal RNA
Source: RNAcentral